Molecule: small nucleolar RNA, 201 nt
Filed under: Sorex araneus (European shrew)
Lineage: Eukaryota; Metazoa; Chordata; Mammalia; Eulipotyphla; Soricidae
Description: Small nucleolar RNA U3 (ENSSARG00000018339.1)
Rfam family: Small nucleolar RNA U3
About the family: Small nucleolar RNAs (snoRNAs) are involved in the processing and modification of rRNA in the nucleolus.
Source: RNAcentral
AAGACUCUGCUCUCAGGAGAGUUUCUCUAGCUUGUCCCGGGGGAAGUGUUCCCAAGCGUGUGGAGCACCCGAGCCCCCAGGCUGCCAGAGCAUCCUCCCCUGAGAAGCUGGUUCUAGGCGCUGUUUCUGCAACCGUCUUUCACUGUUAAUGAUCCUUCUCUUCCCUUGGAAGAGGGAGAGGGAGGGAUGCAGGCUGAGUGG